CCUGAAAGAAAAAGGCCUGGAUCAAACACCGGCAAAGAGGCGGUUCCAUUUUCAGGUGCUGGAGAGGGCAUUCUGCUUGUUUCUCCAUCCAGAAAAUAUUAAGUGACCACCAUGUGCUGCUAUCUGCCUCCCCAGCUGUGACAGAGAGAUGGCGUAAUGACAGGAUUGGUAUAUGCCUGUAUUCCCAGCACUCAGGAGGCUGAGGCAAGCAGACUGCUGUGAGUUGAAAGCCACCC
Molecule: long non-coding RNA, 236 nt
Organism: Fukomys damarensis (Damara mole-rat)
Lineage: Eukaryota; Metazoa; Chordata; Mammalia; Rodentia; Bathyergidae
Exons: 3
Source: RefSeq, a predicted model, not a curated record